UAGGGCCUGACUUUUUGGCUGUGUCUCAGAGGUAGCAAGCCCUGAGAGUUCCCAUAUUUGGAAGAGAGUCCUGCUGUGCCUCAGGACCACACAGAGAAGCAAGAAAUGGCCAGAUCUGAUGGGAUACUGAGGGCACGGCUGAUGGACAUCUUGGCUUUACCUUGUGGGCGAGCAACGACUAGAGGGAGACUGUCUCCCUGCCUACCCCAAUCCUGAAGCCUCAACAUUGCACAGAACUUAAAAUCCUUGACCCACAGUAGUCCCGCCUUCGCCACGGUUUCACUUUCCACGGUUUCAGUUACCUGCCGUCAACCAUGGUCCGAAGAUAUUAAAUGGAAUAGCCCAGAAAUAAGCAAUUCGUAAGUUUUAAAUUGAGCACCUUUCUGAGUAGCGGGAGGAAAUCUCGUGCCCUCCUGCUCCAUCCUGCGUUGGAUGUGAAUCAUCACUUUGUCCCGCAGGUCCACGCUGGACGCGUUCCCAGCCCGUUAGUCACUGAGUGUCCAUCUGGGUCAUCAGAUCAACUGUCAUGGUAUCACAGUGCUUGUGUUCAAGUCACCCUUAUUUUACUCAAUAAUAGCCCCAAAGCGCAGGAGUCCUGAUGCUAGCCGUUAGGACGUGCCGAAGAGAAGCCGGAACGAAGGUGCUUCCUUUAAGUGAAAAGGUGAAAGUUCUUCACUUAGGAAAGAAAAAGACUUCUAGCUUAGGUUGCUAAGAUCUACGGUAAAAACGAAUCUUCUACCCUUGAAAUCACGCAGAACGAAAAACAAAUUUGUGCUGGUUUAGCUGUUGCACUCAAACAUGUAUGUAUAGGAAAACAGAAUAUAUAGGCUUGGGUACUGUCUGCGCGUUCAGGCCCCCACUGGGGUGUUCUUGGAACGAAUCCCCCGAGGAGAAGGGAGGACUACUGUAUAUGGUGUUCUGCUUUGUAGAGCUUCAUUUAACCAGAACCUUACGGAGGGUUAUUAUGAUUAUUUACAGAUUUUUGCAAUUAUAUCCAAUGCUGUAAUGAAUAAUUUUCUUCAUGUCACUUUGAGUGUGAGCGGGGAUACCCAUCAGAUAAACUGUCAGAGGAGGGGCUCCUGAAGCAAAGGAUAUCCUUCACAGGGGCUGUUCGGUUUGGGUGCCCACCAAUAACGUAUGAGAAUUCCUGCUUCCUCAUAGUCUCGCCAACACUUGUUCAUUCACUUCAUAAAUAUUUUAGUCAUCGACUAUGCCUUUUUGUAUAUGCUCUACAAAUGUAUUGGUUAGGAGUUAUAAUUUCUCUCAUUCAAGGUAGGAAAGAUAUUAUUAUCCUAAUUUUAAAAAGAGAGAAACUAUAAAUGGAAAGUAUUAAUCAUAAUUCCCAGGAAAAACUAGAAAAAUAUCACAUUCUUCCUGAUUCUCAGUUUUGAGGAAAGCAUUGGGGCUGUCUCUACAACGACCAUUAUAACUUCACUGGUUGGUCAACUUAGGCAACAAAAGAAUUGGGGUUUUUUGGUCACCAUUUUAUUUACACUAAAUCGUUCGUUAGAUGUUUUGUUAUGUGGGGACAUUGCUAUGUUUAUUGAAGCCAAAGGCCCCUUGAUGUCUGUUAAGGAGAGAAUCUGCUGCACAGCAGAGAAAAAUGUCCUUUAAGACAUAAGUCUCAAGUCGCCUGACACUUGAUUUCAGUGUUCAAAUAGUUACACAAUGUUUCUCUCUUAUUAACCACUGCAAACUCAUGACUUUGUUGUAG
RNAcentral lists this long non-coding RNA (1714 nucleotides) under Equus caballus (horse). RNAcentral describes it as "lncRNA (ENSECAG00000056370.1)". The record is from RNAcentral. Lineage: Eukaryota; Metazoa; Chordata; Mammalia; Perissodactyla; Equidae.